Long non-coding RNA from Mustela erminea (ermine), 101 nucleotides. RefSeq lists it as uncharacterized. The transcript has 3 exons. The record is from RefSeq and is a predicted model, not a curated record. Lineage: Eukaryota; Metazoa; Chordata; Mammalia; Carnivora; Mustelidae.
UACUCAGCCAUAAAAAACAAGAUCUUGCGAUGUGUGACAACAUGGACGGACCUAGAGGGUAUUAUGCUAAGUGAACUUAUUUCAGGGAAAGACAAAUACUG